RNAcentral lists this transfer RNA (77 nucleotides) under Meinhardsimonia xiamenensis. RNAcentral describes it as "Albidovulum xiamenense tRNA-Arg". It matches the Rfam family "tRNA". Rfam says of the family: Transfer RNA (tRNA) molecules are approximately 80 nucleotides in length. Their secondary structure includes four short double-helical elements and three loops (D, anti-codon, and T loops). Further hydrogen bonds mediate the characteristic L-shaped molecular structure. tRNAs have two regions of fundamental functional importance: the anti-codon, which is responsible for specific mRNA codon recognition, and the 3' end, to which the tRNAs corresponding amino acid is attached (by aminoacyl-tRNA synthetases). tRNAs cope with the degeneracy of the genetic code in two manners: having more than one tRNA (with a specific anti-codon) for a particular amino acid; and 'wobble' base-pairing, i.e. permitting non-standard base-pairing at the 3rd anti-codon position. Lineage: Bacteria; Pseudomonadati; Pseudomonadota; Alphaproteobacteria; Rhodobacterales; Paracoccaceae. The record is from RNAcentral.
GCGCUGGUAGCUCAGUUGGAUAGAGUGCUUGACUACGAAUCAAGAGGUCGGGGGUUCGAAUCCUCCCCAGCGCGCCA